AGGCAGCAGUGAGGAAUAUUGCGCAAUGGGGGCAACCCUGACGCAGCAACGCCGCGUGGAUGAUGAAGGCCUUCGGGUUGUAAAAUCCUUUUCCGGGGGAAGAAUCAUGACGGUACCUCGGGAAUAAGUCCCGGCUAACUACGUGCCAGCAGCCGCGGUAAAACGUAUGGGGCGAGCGUUAUCCGGAUUUACUGGGCGUAAAGCGCACGUAGGCGGCGCUGUAAGUUGGGCGUGAAAGCUCCCGGCUCAACUGGGAGAGGUCGUUCAAAACUGCAGUGCUUGAGGUUGGAAGAGGAGAGUGGAAUUCCCGGUGUAGUGGUGGAAUGCGUAGAUAUCGGGAGGAACACCAUUGGCGAAGGCGGCUCUCUGGUCCAACCCUGACGCUGAGGUGCGAAAGCGUGGGGAGCGAACGGGAUUAGAUACCCCGGUAGUCCACGCUGUAAACGAUGGAUACUAAGUGUGGGAGGUUACUUACCCCUUCCGUGCCGUAGCUAACGUGAUAAGUUUCCCGCCUGGGGACUACGGCCGCAAUGUUACAACUUCAAGUGACUUGACGGGGGCCCGAACAGGCAGCGGAGCGUGUGGUUAAUUCGAUGAUACGCGAAGAACCUUACCUGGGCUUGACAUGUUGGUAGUAGUGAAGCGAAAGCGGAUCGACCCUUCGGGGAGCCAUCACAGGUGCUGCAUGGCUGUCGUCAGCUCGUGUCGUGAGAUGUUGGGUUAAGUCCCGCAACGAGCGCAACCCUUGUCGUUAGUUACAUGUGUCUAGCGAGACUGCCGGUACCAAACCGGAGGAAGGUGGGGAUGACGUCAAGUCAGCAUGGUCUUUAUGUCCAGGGCUACACACACGCUACAAUGGCCGGUACAAUAGGUUGCCACACCGCGAGGUGGAGCUAAUCCCCAAAGCCGGUCUCAGUUCGGAU
Molecule: ribosomal RNA, 923 nt
Filed under: uncultured organism
Description: bacterial SSU rRNA
Rfam family: Bacterial small subunit ribosomal RNA
Source: RNAcentral